GAUGAACGCUGGCGGCGUGCCUAAUACAUGCAAGUCGAGCGAACAGAUGAGGAGCUUGCUCCUCUGACGUUAGCGGCGGACGGGUGAGUAACACGUGGAUAACCUACCUAUAAGACUGGGGUAACUUCGGGAAACCGGAGCUAAUACCGGAUAAUAUAUUGAACCGCAUGGUUCAAUAGUGAAAGACGGUUUUGCUGUCACUUAUAGAUGGAUCCGCGCCGCAUUAGCUAGUUGGUAAGGUAACGGCUUACCAAGGCAACGAUGCGUAGCCGACCUGAGAGGGUGAUCGGCCACACUGGAACUGAGACACGGUCCAGACUCCUACGGGAGGCAGCAAUAGGGAAUCUUCCGCAAUGGGCGAAAGCCUGACGGAGCAACGCCGCGUGAGUGAUGAAGGUCUUCGGAUCGUAAAACUCUGUUAUUAGGGAAGAACAAAUGUGUAAGUAACUAUGCACGUCUUGACGGUACCUAAUCAGAAAGCCACGGCUAACUACGUG
RNAcentral lists this ribosomal RNA (497 nucleotides) under uncultured bacterium. RNAcentral's name for it is "partial 16S ribosomal RNA". It matches the Rfam family "Bacterial small subunit ribosomal RNA", at positions 28 to 507 of the family's 1533-position model. The record is from RNAcentral.